UAUGCUAUCACUAUAUGUGGAAUCCUAAAAAGUGAUUCAAAUGAACUUAUUUACAAAACAGAAGCAGACUCACAGACAUAGAAAACAAACUUAUAAUUACCAAAGGGGGAAGGAUAAAUUAGAAUACAUUUAGCAGAAACAACCUACUAUAUAUAAAAUAGGUAAACAACAAAGUCCUCCUGUGUAGUACAGGGAACUAUACUCAAUAUCCUGUAAUAGACCAUAAUGGAAAAGAAUCUGUAUGGCUGAACCACUUUGGAGUUCCUGCUGUGGCUCGGUGGGCUGAGAACCCAACAGUGUCCGCAGGGUGUGGGUUUGAUCCCUGGCCUCACUCAGUCGGUUAAGGAUCAGGCAUUGCUGCCAGCUGCAGUGUAGGUCACAGAUGUGGCUUGGAUCCAGUGGUGCUGUGGCUGUGGUGUAGGCUGGCAGCUGUAGUUCCAAUUUGACCCCUAGCCCAGGAACGUCCUUGUGCCACAGCUGCAACUGUAAAAAGAAAAAAAAUAUAGUAACUGAACCACUUGGUUGGACGUCAGAAACUAACACGACAUUGUCAGUCAACUGUACUUUAAUUAAAAAUAAUGUAAUUGAAUUAUUAAUUUAAUUAAUUACCUGGUGGUGCAGUGGGUUAAAGAUACAGCACUGUGGAGUUCCCGUCUUGGCGCAGCUGAAACGAAUCUGACUAGGAACUGUGAGGUUGCGGGUUCGAUCCAUGGCCUCGCUCAUUGGGUUGGNUAUCCAAGCCGCUUCUGUGAUCUACACCACAGGUCAAGAUCCACAAAGCUGGAUCCUUAACCCACUGAGUGAGGCUGGGGAUUGAACCGGGGAUUGCAUCCUCAUGGAUACUAGUUGGGUUUGUUACUGCAAUGGGGACCUCCCAGCUUCUUUAAAGUGGAUCAGAAAACACGGAUUUACAUGCCUUCACCAUCCUGGUUGCCUGGUUAACAACAGGCUUAGCAUGUCUGGGCCUCAGUUUCCCCAUCUGUAAAAUAAAGAGGUUUGAUUUCAUGAUCUUUAAGGUCAUUUUAAUACCAACGUUCUGUGUUAAACUCAGGAACCCCUGCAAAGAUGUCCACAUACAUUUCUAAGCAGGGGACGUCCCCCUCCCCUAAAUGUUCCUGUCACGUUUAUCUGCUGACGGUAGAAAAUGGAGACAUUUAUUUAUUCAAUUUCUCUUUCUCCAACAAAUAGUUUCUGAGGGCCACGAUGUUCCAGGUAAGACCCAUCAAGGGUCUCCUGUUCUAUUCCCAGCUCUGGCAGGAAGCAGGCAGGGAGAGUGGACUGGGUGCCUGGGGGACCCUGUAGCAUCCAUGGGAGCUUGUACCUGAGCCAAGCACAUUUUAAAAAGGCAAGAGUCAUGGGAAAUGUCGCCCUGAUGAACCUCAUCUGGGGCGGGAGGGUGACAGAGGGGAGGGAGGCGUCGAGGCCGGGCCUAAGCCUGGUCCCUGGAGGAGGGUGAUGGGAUGGGGGAAUGCAGGUUUCGCCCUCAGCUUUCUCAGGAUUUAUUUCGUUCGCAGGAUGCGACUCCCAGGCCAGACUGCUCAUUGCUUUCUCCUGGACCUAAGUCUGUCAGCAAAUCUGGUUGGCAGGCACCUCUGCUACUUGAAUUUUGCAGAGACCAGCCUCAUUGAACUCACCCAAACACUGUCAACAUGUGAAGGCAGGGUGGAGAGAAUGCAAAUACUAAUGAGGAUUGUGAGAUAUCAAAUUCCACAGAGUCUGGUAGGAACACUGCUUUGACUUCUCUUUAAAAGAAAACCUAGCUAGGAGUUCCUACUGCGGCUCAACAGGAUUGACGGCAUCUUGGGAGGGAGCACUGGGACACAGGUUUGAUCCCUGGGUGGGCACAGUGGGUUAAGGAUCUGUUGUUACCACAGCUGUGGUUUAGGUCGCAACCGCGGCUUGAUUCUGAUCCUUGGCCAGGGAACUCCAUAUUCCAAGGAGUGGCCACAAAA
Molecule: long non-coding RNA, 1952 nt
Filed under: Sus scrofa (pig)
Lineage: Eukaryota; Metazoa; Chordata; Mammalia; Artiodactyla; Suidae
Description: lncRNA (ENSSSCG00035060196.1)
Source: RNAcentral